Molecule: transfer RNA, 90 nt
Filed under: Clostridiales bacterium
Lineage: Bacteria; Bacillati; Bacillota; Clostridia; Eubacteriales
Description: tRNA-Ser
Rfam family: tRNA
About the family: Transfer RNA (tRNA) molecules are approximately 80 nucleotides in length. Their secondary structure includes four short double-helical elements and three loops (D, anti-codon, and T loops).
Source: RNAcentral
GGAGAAAUACUCAAGAGGCCGAAGAGGCGCCCCUGCUAAGGGUGUAGGUCGGUUCAAACCGGCGCGAGGGUUCAAAUCCCUCUUUCUCCG